RNAcentral lists this ribosomal RNA (847 nucleotides) under uncultured bacterium. Its description in RNAcentral is "bacterial SSU rRNA". It matches the Rfam family "Bacterial small subunit ribosomal RNA", at positions 60 to 874 of the family's 1533-position model. The record is from RNAcentral.
AGUCGAGCGAGCGGAACUAAAGAUUUACUUCGGUAAUGACGUUAGGAAAGCGAGCGGCGGAUGGGUGAGUAACACGUGGGGAAUCUGCCCCAUAGUCUGGGAUACCACUUGGAAACAGGUGCUAAUACCGGAUAAGAAAGCAGAUCGCAUGAUCAGCUUUUAAAAGGCGGCGUAAGCUGUCGCUAUGGGAUGGCCCCGCGGUGCAUUAGCUAGUUGGUAAGGUAAAGGCUUACCAAGGCGAUGAUGCAUAGCCGAGUUGAGAGACUGAUCGGCCACAUUGGGACUGAGACACGGCCCAAACUCCUACGGGAGGCAGCAGUAGGGAAUCUUCCACAAUGGACGCAAGUCUGAUGGAGCAACGCCGCGUGAGUGAAGAAGGUUUUCGGAUCGUAAAGCUCUGUUGUUGGUGAAGAAGGAUAGAGGUAGUAACUGGCCUUUAUUUGACGGUAAUCAACCAGAAAGUCACGGCUAACUACGUGCCAGCAGCCGCGGUAAUACGUAGGUGGCAAGCGUUGUCCGGAUUUAUUGGGCGUAAAGCGAGCGCAGGCGGAAGAAUAAGUCUGAUGUGAAAGCCCUCGGCUUAACCGAGGAACUGCAUCGGAAACUGUUUUUCUUGAGUGCAGAAGAGGAGAGUGGAACUCCAUGUGUAGCGGUGGAAUGCGUAGAUAUAUGGAAGAACACCAGUGGCGAAGGCGGCUCUCUGGUCUGCAACUGACGCUGAGGCUCGAAAGCAUGGGUAGCGAACAGGAUUAGAUACCCUGGUAGUCCAUGCCGUANACGAUGAGUGCUAAGUGUUGGGAGGUUUCCGCCUCUCAGUGCUGCAGCUAACGCAUUAAGCACUCCGCCU